UACGUAGGGUGCAAGUGUUGUCCGGAAUUAUUGGGCGUAAAGAGCUCGUAGGCGGUCUGUCGCGUCGGAUGUGAAAACCCAGGGCUCAACCCUGGGCCUGCAUUCGAUACGGGCAGACUAGAGUUCGGUAGGGGAGACUGGAAUUCCUGGUGUAGCGGUGAAAUGCGCAGAUAUCAGGAAGAACACCCGUGGCUAAGGCGGCCCUCUAGUACGGUACUGACGCUGAGACGCGAAAGCGUGGGGAGCGAACAGG
This 253-nucleotide ribosomal RNA is filed under the name uncultured bacterium. RNAcentral's name for it is "partial 16S ribosomal RNA". It matches the Rfam family "Bacterial small subunit ribosomal RNA", at positions 524 to 776 of the family's 1533-position model. The record is from RNAcentral.